AUCCAACUGUGCUUAGGACGGCAGAUGUGGACCGCUAUCGAGAGACGACAGAAAAGUAACAUAGCCAGAGGAAAGUUGUGUGCUUCGACACAAAUCUUUCUUUUCAAAUCUUCUUGUUCGAAGAAAAUUUUCUGUUCAAGAACGUUUUCUUUGUGAUGGAAGCAGUGUCUGCAAUCGGAGGUUCUGUUCUUUCUGCUUUCUUUCAAUCGCUAUUUGAUAAAUUAACUUCCACGGAUUUCUUGAAGUAUGUUCGUGAAGGAGAAGUCCUUGUUCAACUCCAGAAGUGGGAGAAUUGGCUCAAGAGAAUUCAUGCGGUUCUUGAAGAUGCAGAGGAGAAG
This 338-nucleotide unclassified non-coding RNA is filed under the name Hevea brasiliensis (rubber tree). Lineage: Eukaryota; Viridiplantae; Streptophyta; Magnoliopsida; Malpighiales; Euphorbiaceae. The record is from RNAcentral.